UCGUAACAAGGUUUCCGUAGGUGAACCUGCGGAAGGAUCAUUAAAGAUUAUGAAUGAAUAGAUUACUGGGGGAAUCGUCUGAACAAGGCCUGCGCUUAAUUGCGCGGCCAGUUCUUGAUUCUCUGCUAUCAGUUUUCUAUUUCUCAUCCUAAACACAAUGGAGUUUUUUCUCUAUGAACUACUUCCCUGGAGAGCUCGUCUCUCCAGUGGACAUAAACACAAACAAUAUUUUGUAUUAUGAAAAACUAUUAUACUAUAAAAUUUAAUAUUCAAAACUUUCAACAACGGAUCUCUUGGUUCUCGCAUCGAUGAAGAACGCAGCGAAUUGCGAUAUGUAUUGUGAAUUGCAGAUUUUCGUGAAUCAUCAAAUCUUUGAACGCACAUUGCGCCCUCUGGUAUUCCAGGGGGCAUGCCUGUUUGAGCGUCAUUUCUCUCUCAAACCUUUGGGUUUGGUAGUGAGUGAUACUCGUCUCGGGUUAACUUGAAAGUGGCUAGCCGUUGCCAUCUGCGUGAGCAGGGCUGCGUGUCAAGUCUAUGGACUCGACUCUUGCACAUCUACGUCUUAGGUUUGCGCCAAUUCGUGGUAAGCUUGGGUCAUAGAGACUCAUAGGUGUUAUAAAGACUCGCUGGUGUUUGUCUCCUUGAGGCAUACGGCUUUAACCAAAACUCUCAAAGUUUGACCUCAAAUCAGGUAGGAGUACCCGCUGAACCUAAGCAUAUCA
Molecule: unclassified non-coding RNA, 722 nt
Filed under: Kluyveromyces marxianus
Lineage: Eukaryota; Fungi; Ascomycota; Saccharomycetes; Saccharomycetales; Saccharomycetaceae
Description: sequence contains 18S rRNA gene, ITS1, 5.8S rRNA gene, ITS2, 28S rRNA gene
Rfam family: 5.8S ribosomal RNA (bases 274-427)
Source: RNAcentral